AUAUCCAUGAACAGAUGGCCACAGCGUGGGGGCCGUGAGGCUCAGACCUUUGAGGACGGACUAUGCUGGUGACACUAGAAAAGGUUCUGCAGCCUCAAGAGGAGGAGGGUGGUAAUUGGCUGGAGCCAGAAGCAGCUGCCCGGAGGGUGGAACACAUGGUCUAUGAUUCCCACAGUCUCCACCAUACCCUGUGGGUUCACACCUGGUCGGCCUCAUAUUUAUGGCAUUUACGGCAUCUCCCUGAUCUCUGCAGCUUCCCGAGUCAGCAAGCCCUGAUGUAACAGAGCACCCACGGCUUGUGGAAGUCCCCAUGCCAGGGAUCGAACCUGUGCUGCGGUUGCAACCUGCGCCACAGUGGUGGAGAUGCCGGAUCCUUAACCCGCUGCACCAAAGGAAACUUCCUGGUGUCUCUUCCCCUUAGGAGAUAUGAGUCCCAGUGGGUUAGGGUCCCACCCUUAUGACUUCAUUUAACCUUAAUUACUUCCUUAAAGAUUCUAUUUCCAAAUACAAUCACAUUGCAGGUUAGAGCUUCAACUCAGGAAUUUUUUUGGCCCUGCCCAUGGCAUGUGGAAAGUUCUGGGGCCAGGGACUGAACCUGCUCCACAGCAGUGACAACAUCAGACCCUUAACCCACUGAGUCAACAGGGAACUCCAACAUACGAAUUUUGGAUGCAAUUCAGUCCAUAAUGUUAGGAAAACGAGAAAAUCCAAUUAAGAAGAAGAAAAAAAAUCACUCAUCAUCUCUCUUGCCCCUGGCUCAUCUCAGCUCAAUCUAACCACAUCAACACUUUUACUAUUAUAUUUUUAAAAUUGAAAAUUUUACACACUUUCUUGGUAAUCUGCUUUUUUUUUUUUUCUUUUCACAUUUAUAGUAACCUAAGCUAAACGGAAAUGUUAUGGUAACAUAUACUUGUAACUUGUUUUUUAAUUGUAACCUUCCUCAUUUAGUGAAUUAUAAAUUGUCCCAUAGUAAGGACAGAGUCUAAUUUAUUUUUCUAAUCCCUUAUUGUCUGGACACUCUGAAUUCUAUUCACUAUGGACUUGCCUGUUUGUUAGCUCAUGACUUUGGUCUAAUAAUAACUCCAUCCACCUGAGCAUCAGUUUUCCGCAUCCAUGUUAUCAGAAUCACAGUAUCACCUCAACUGAGAUAAUGACUCUAAGGUGCUUAGCACAGUAUCUGGUGCACGGAAAACGCUCAGAGCUGUUUUUAUAAUCACAUAUAUAUUUAUAACAGUGGGUCCAAGAUUCCCCAUCUCACUGUGUCCUGAAUUCACAUUCAAGGGCAACCUCUUUGUGGCCACGCCCAUCCCUAGUCGUCACGGAAGAAGGGCAGGAAUCCCAUCACUGGCAGAGCACAUUUGGCCCCCAGUGUGGAAUAAAACCCUGGAAGGUCGGUAUGUACACUUCAGGCUUUUUCAGAUUUCUAGAACCCAAACGGUCCUUAUUUUCCUGCAUAAAACUUUCCAGCGACUCCCUGGUGCCCUCAGCCCUAUGAUGUGAUAACUCCUAACAGUGGCUGGACAGACCUGGCAGAUGAGACCACUCAGCCUCAUCUCUCACCUCUGCCGCCAGCCGCCUGAAAGUUCAAGUAUACAAGUCCCUCAGACUCACCACUCUGGCUCUCACCUCUGGGCCUUGGCACCUGCUGUCCUCUCUGCCCAGAGCAUGCACCCCUCUCCCCAUCUUCUCUUCAGUAGGCUCAUGCCUCCUCAGCCUUAAAGCCUCCGCUUAAAGGUCUCUGCACAAAAGUUAGUGGUGCCCUCCCUGUGUGCUCACUUUUACAUUUCAGUGCACCCUGGCUCACCCCAGCUGGCAGCACCCACAUGUAUUACCUGAGGGAUUUUUCUGAUCCCAGGGGAACCGUUCUGCCAACGGCAAGGCAGACCUGAAGUGCUGGCGAUGAACCCGCCUCCAAGGAGCAAGCUUAAGCAAUGACAGACUGAACUUGGUAUAUAAAUACCCCCGCUCUCUCCCUCUGGUGGAUAAAAGUGCUUUACCCUGACCUCAAAAUUUCCCCACGGGAUUAAGCUCCAGCCGCUCAGAGUGCUAACCUGCUUGAUACCACGCCUUCUUUGACCGCUUCUCCUGUCUCAUUUCCCCACUUGCCUCCAGGAUUUCCUUCAUCUCCCAUAUCAGCUGCUUCUCCUUCAAUUCCUGUCUCAAGUCUGCUUUGGAGGAACCCACACUGAAAGCCGCGAGCUCCUGAGAGCCUCCCUUGGCAUGUCCGGUGCCUCGGCGGGGCGGGGUGUGCCGGCUGUCCCUUCCUGACUCUAGCACAACCCCUCAUUCCUGCUCCAGAGUAAGAACUCAUCACGCAGUGCCACACUUGCCCAGGUCCCCACGGAAACACAGACAACUCGCUGGGAAAGAAAUUUAAAUGGCUUUUAAACAGUUGAGAAGAGAAUCAAUUUCACUCAUAAUUAAUGAAGUUCAAAUGAAGAAUGUCAGCUGAUACAUGCAGAUGAAAGGACAACAUUAGGAAAUCACUGUUCAGUGCUUACUAACUGAUUCAGUCAAGGACGAUUCAUGGGUGAGGAACUGGAUCCCCACAGGUUCUGGUGGGAAGAGGGAAAAUAGACAUGAGGAGAGAUGUAGUCACCACCUUAACCCAGGAAUCAAACUUGGCAUCAUUCAUGGUGAGACAUCAAGACAUCUCAGAACUCCUGAUGUGAGGCCUGAUAAAACACACAGGACCACCCACGACGGUGUUCAUUCAAUGCUUGACCUCAAAACGUUUAAGCUGAACCUGAUCUAUCCUUUAGAUCUAAGUUCUAGUUUAAAGAAAUACAGGGGUUGGAGGUGGGAAGUGCGACAAGCUGAAGGACAAUGCAAUCAGGGAGUUCCUGUCGUGGCUCAGUGGAAACAAAUCUGACUAGUAUCCAUGAGGACACAGGUUCAAUCCCUGACCUCAUUCAGUGGGUUAAGGCUCCGGCAUCGCCGUGAGCUGUGGUGUAGGUCGCAAACGCAGCGCAGAUCUGGCAUUGCCAUGGCUGUGGCGUAAGCUGGCAGCUGUGGCUCAGAUUAGACCCCCAGCCUGGGAACCUCCAUAUGCUGUGGGUGCAGCCCUAAAAAGCAAAAAAAAAAGGGGGGGGGGAAUGGUAUUGUCUCAUAUAAGAAAAUGACCUGUGUUAGAUAUAAAGUAACUCUGAAGUAUUUAGUGGAUGAAAUACCCUAUCUAUAACUUAUUUCAAAAUACUUCAGGUCCUCACACCCCCCAAUUAAACAAAUAUGGUAGAAUUUUGGCAAUGAUUCUAUCUAGAUGAUAGAUACAUGGGUGUUUGUGGAGCUCUUUUCUUUGCUGUUUCACAUGUUUGAGUUUUUUUUAAUAAUAAAAUGUCAAAAA
Molecule: long non-coding RNA, 3343 nt
Filed under: Sus scrofa (pig)
Lineage: Eukaryota; Metazoa; Chordata; Mammalia; Artiodactyla; Suidae
Description: lncRNA (ENSSSCG00055008124.1)
Source: RNAcentral